CUCGUCUCCAUUACUUAUUCUCUCAAUUUCCUAAAGUACACACUUGAAAGCCAUCUAUCAUAAUUUUAAACUGAAGGGAAGAUUUCAUCUUUAAUUUUGAAUUAUGACACAAAACUAAUGGGGAGAUUUCAUCUUUAGUUUUGAAUCAAAGUGUGCCGCACUGUGCAGACACGAUAUGCUUAACAUCUGUGUUGUUUGACUUUAUUUGUGAAAAAGCAUUAGAGGCCUUCAUCAGGUGGUUGUGGGGCUUGUGUCGUUCUGGUAUCAAAGUAUGAUCCAAAGCUUAAAAAGGUUGAAGAUCUUAGCGUAAGUUCAUGCCUUACACUUCUUUGCAGUUUAAAUGGUUUUUCAAUUACUACAAGUGAAGGUCUUGGGAACACCAGAGAUGGUUUCCACUCUAUUCAUGAAAGGAUUGCCGGUUUCCAUGCUUCUCAAUGCGGCUUUUGCACUCCCGGCAUGUGUAUGUCAUUUUUCUCCGCUCUUGUCAACGCCGAUAAAGGAAACAAGCCAGAUCCUCCACCGGGAUUCUCUAAGCUUAAUUCGUCCGAAGCUGAAAAGGCCAUAGUAGGGAACCUUUGUCGGUGUACUGGAUACCGGCCCAUUGCUUAUGCCUGCAAGUCUUUUGCUGCUGAUAUUGAUAUAGAGGAUUUGGGGCUCAAUUCUUUUUGGAAAAACGGAGAUUCCAAGGAAAUGAAAGUAAGUAAAUUACCUCCCUAUGAUCCAAACAAGAAUUUAAGUACAUAUCCCAAGUUCUUGAAAAGUGAAUCUGCCACGAUUUUGGACUCCUCAAGGUACCCUUGGUACAGUCCUGUUUCCAUUGAGGAGCUACGGAGCUUGUUGUACUCCAAUGUGACGGAAAUUGGUACAAGCUUUAAACUUGUCAUUGGUAAUACUGGCAGUGGUUAUUAUAAGGAAACUCAACGAUAUGAUCAUUACAUUGAUCUCAGGCAUGUUCCUGAACUCUCAAUAAUCAAAAGAAAUCAAACAGGCAUUGAAGUCGGAGCAACUGUGACUGUCUCUACAUUCAUUUCUUUCUUGAAAGAGGAAAGUAAAAUCAAUUUUGGUUCAUAUGGAAAGUUGGUGUCUGAUAAACUGGCUUACCACAUGGAGAAGAUUGCUUCACCAUUUGUGAGAAACUCUGCUAGUGUGGGAGGAAAUUUGGUUAUGGCACAGAAGAAUGGUUUUCCUUCAGAUAUUGCUACAUUAUUUCUCGGGCUUUGUGCUACUGUUAGCUUGAUAACUGGACAUGGAUUUGAAAACCUCACAUGGGAAGAGUUACCAUUGAGACCACCACCAGACUCGAGGACUGUACUUCUAACUGUUUCUAUCCCAUUUAAGAAAGAUCAAAAUUCUAAAUUUUUGUUUGAAGCCUAUCGAGCUGCUCCACGACCUUAUGGAAAUGCAUUGGCAUAUAUAAAUGCUGCUUUCCGGGCUGAUGUUUCUCUCUGCCAGAACAGCUUCAGGAUAAACAAUAUCCGGUUGGCAUUUGGUGCUUAUGGCACUAAAUAUGCAACAAGGGCUAAAAAGGUAGAGAAAUAUCUAACUGGGAAAAUGUUAAACGUACAUAUUUUAUAUGAAGCACUAAAAUUAAUCAAACUAGCAGUGGUACCGGAAGAUGGCACUUUGCACCCUGAGUACAGAUCAAGCUUGGCUGUCAGUUUUGUUUUUGAGUUUCUUUAUCCCUUAACUGAUGCUCAUUCUGUUAUUUCUGGUGGCUUACACAAUGGAAUUAAUGACAUCUCAGUCGAGGAAGUCUUCAAAAGUAGUAAAGAUGGAUGCAUCAGUCAGGGGAAAAAACAAACACUACUGUUUUCUGCUAAGCAGGUUAUGGAAUCUAGUACUGAGUACUAUCCAGUAGGUGAACCGAUGAUGAAGGUCGGACCUGCCAUGCAAGCUUCUGGUGAAGCUGUUUAUGUAGAUGACAUCCCUUCACCACCAAACUGCCUACAUGGAGCAUUUAUCUACAGUAGAAACCGUUAGCUGGUGUAAAAGGAAUCCAGCUCAAGUCUAAUCAAUUAACAAAUGGAGUCACCGAGGUUAUAACUUGUAAAGAUAUCCCAAGUGGAGGGGAAAAUGUAGGAGUUAUUACAAGGUUUGAUCCUGAGCCCUUAUUUGCAGAUGAUCUCGUCCGAUGCGUAGGUGACAGAAUCGCAAUUGUGGUUGCUGACAGUCAGAGGUCUGCUGAUGUGGCUGCAAGAACGGUCCUUGUUGAAUACGAUACUGAUGAUAUAGAUUCACCCAUUUUAACCGUCGAGGAUGCUGUUGAAAAAUCUAGCUUUAUCAAAAUCUCACCAUUUCUGUAUCCAAAACAAGUCGGUGAUUUCUCGAAAGGAAUGGCUGAAGCUGAUCACAAGAUUUUCUCUGCUGAGGUAAGACUUGGUUCCGAGUACUAUUUUUAUAUGGAGACACAGACUGCCCUAGCAAUUCCAGAUGAAGACAACUGCAUGGUUGUUUAUACUUCAAGCCAGUGCCCUGAGAGAGCACAAUAUAUGAUCGCCACUUGUCUUGGUAUUCCUGAACACAGUAUCCGUGUAAUUACCAGAAGAGUCGGAGGUGGCUUUGGGGGCAAGGCAAUCAAAUCAAUGCCAAUCUCUGCAGCCUGUGCACUUGCAGCAUACAAGUUAAGGCAACCUGUCAGGAUAUAUGUCAACCGGAACAGUGACAUGGUAAUGACAGGAGGAAGACACCCAAUGAAAGUAACAUAUAGUGUAGGAUUCAAGUCGAGUGGAAAGAUCACAGCAUUGCAUCUUGAUCUAUUGAUAAAUGCUGGGAUCUCGGACGAUGUAAGUCCCACCAUACCAUUAAAUGUGAUUAAAGCACUAAAGAAAUAUGAUUGGGUGCCUUAUCUUUCGAUGUAAAACUAUGCAAGACAAGUCUUACUAGCAAAUCGGCUAUGCGGCCCCCUGGGGAGGUGCAGGGAUCUUAUAUUGCCGAAGCUAUAAUAGAACAUGUAUCAAGUUCACUGUCGAUGGAGGUGGACUCGGUCAGAAAUAAAAAUGUUCAUACAUUUGAAAGUCUUAAUUUGGUCUAUGAUAACAUUGUAUCAGUAGGAGAAUAUACAAUGCCUAGUAUCAUGGAUAAGUUGGCUGUGUCCUCAAACUUUUUUCAACGUAGCAAGAUGAUAGAACAGUUCAACCAGAAAAGCACAUGGAAGAAAAGGGGUAUCUCCCGAGUACCAAUCGUGUAUUAAGCUAUAGAACAAUCGAAACCAGGAAAAGUCAGUAUUCUGCAAGACGGAUCAAUUGUUGUAGAGGUAGGAGGGAUUGAGAUUGGCCAAGGGUUAUGGACAAAGGUUAAGCAGAUGACUGCCUAUUCUCUUGGUUUAAUCGAAAGCAGUUGGGCCGAAGAACUUGUGGAGAAAAUACGAGUCAUACAAGCAGAUACCUUAAGCAUAGUGCAAGGUGGGUAUACAGCUGGGAGCACUACAUCGGAAUCAAGUUGUGAAGCUGUUAGACUUUGCUGUAAUGUCUUGGUUGAAAGGUUGAGUCCUCUUAAGAAAAAGUUACAGGAACAAAAUGUCUCUGUUGAUUGGCCAACACUGAUUCGCCAGUUCUGUCCCUCCACCCCCUUCUUUUUGCAGGCACAAAUGGAAUCAGUAAACUUAGCAGCAAAUUCUUAUUAUGUACCAGAAUCUGAUUUUACGAGUUAUUUGAACUUUGGUGCUGCUGUCAGUGAGGUGGAGAUUGAUAUCCUGACCGGAGAGACUACCAUUUUGCAAUCUGAUAUUAUUUACGACUGUGGGCAGAGCUUGAAUCCAGCCGUUGAUAUGGGACAGAUUGAAGGGGCUUUCGUUCAAGGAAUCGGAUUUUUCAUGAACAAAGAGUAUCUUACAAACGAAGAUGGGUUAAUGGUCUCGAAUAGUACAUGGACAUACAAGAUCCCAACAAUUGACACCAUACCUCGAAAUUUCAAUGUUCAUGUGGUAAACAGAGGACACCACGAAAAACGUGUUCUCUCCUCUAAAGCAUCUGGUGAGCCACCGUUGCUUCUGGUAGUCAGCGUCCAUUGUGCAGCACGAGCAGCGGUUAAAGCAGCACGUGAACAGCUCAAACAAUGGGACAAGCUUGACGGGUCUGUUUCAGAAUUCUAUCUGGACGUCCCCGCCAUAUUACCCGUUGUGAAGACACAACGGUUAAAUAUUGUUUUUCUUUAAAUCUUCUUAUUAAAAGAAUAAGUUUCUUUUGUUUUUCUGUCAAUAUCAAACCUCAACGUAUAUUUUUGAUCGUUUAGCAAUAAAAAUAACGUUGUAAAGAUUAAA
Molecule: RNA transcript, 4258 nt
Organism: Solanum lycopersicum (tomato)
Lineage: Eukaryota; Viridiplantae; Streptophyta; Magnoliopsida; Solanales; Solanaceae
Gene: TAO4
Gene name: aldehyde oxidase-like
Source: RefSeq, marked provisional